RNA transcript from Arabidopsis thaliana (thale cress), 274 nucleotides. RefSeq lists it as uncharacterized. NCBI's taxonomy places the organism in Eukaryota, Viridiplantae, Streptophyta, Magnoliopsida, Brassicales, Brassicaceae. The record is from RefSeq. The transcript has a single exon.
CCUGGCAGAGCUAAGGGGGCUUCAAUCCUUAUUCCUUAUCCCCAUCUUCGCCCAGGCUAACGGGGCCUUACUUAUUCAGGGGGGGAGCCUCGAGAAGCACUGUUGAGAAGAAGAUCCUAGGCCCCUCUUCAUUCUCUACAGGGUUUCUUUCUUCAAUAUAGGUGACAACGAGCGAGGCAGAGAUGGAAGAGAUCAAAGACGAGAAUAAGAAGCCAGUAAACUUCCUUUUUGAUCAUUUUGUUUGAUAGAGGGGGAUAGAAAAAAUGGACAAAAC